UUGCCCUAGUAACGGCGAGUGAAGCGGCAACAGCUCAAAUUUGAAAUCUGGCUCUUUCAGAGUCCGAGUUGUAAUUUGCAGAGGGCGCUUUGGCUUUGGCAGCGGUCCAAGUUCCUUGGAACAGGACGUCACAGAGGGUGAGAAUCCCGUACGUGGUCGCUAGCUAUUGCCGUGUAAAGCCCCUUCGACGAGUCGAGUUGUUUGGGAAUGCAGCUCUAAAUGGGAGGUAAAUUUCUUCUAAAGCUAAAUAUUGGCCAGAGACCGAUAGCGCACAAGUAGAGUGAUCGAAAGAUGAAAAGCACUUUGGAAAGAGAGUCAAACAGCACGUGAAAUUGUUGAAAGGGAAGCGCUUGCAGCCAGACUUGCUUGCAGUUGCUCAUCCGGGCUUUUGCCCGGUGCACUCUUCUGCAGGCAGGCCAGCAUCAGUUUGGGCGGUGGGAUAAAGGUCUCUGUCACGUACCAUCCUUCGGGAUGGCCAUAUAGGGGAGACGUCAUACCACCAGCCUGGACUGAGGUCCGCGCAUCUGCUAGGAUGCUGGCGUAAUGGCUGUAAGCGGCCCGUCUUGAAACACGGACCAAGGAGUCUAACAUCUAUGCGAGUGUUUGGGUGUCAAGCCCGAGCGCGUAAUGAAAGUGAACGGAGGUGGGAACCCGCAAGGGUGCACCAUCGACCGAUCCUGAAGUUUACGGAAGGAUUUGAGUAAGAGCAUGGCUGUUGGGACCCGAAAGAUGGUGAACUAUGCUUGAAUAGGGUGAAGCCAGAGGAAACUCUGGUGGAGGCUCGCAGCGGUUCUGACGUGCAAAUCGAUCGUCAAAUUUGGGCAUAGGGGCGAAAGACU
RNAcentral lists this ribosomal RNA (839 nucleotides) under Curvularia sp. RNAcentral describes it as "partial large subunit ribosomal RNA". It matches the Rfam family "Eukaryotic large subunit ribosomal RNA", at positions 75 to 932 of the family's 3401-position model. Lineage: Eukaryota; Fungi; Ascomycota; Dothideomycetes; Pleosporales; Pleosporaceae. The record is from RNAcentral.